GAUACCCUGUUAUUAAAAAUGUAAUAAAAAAUGAUAGAGUAGUAAUAGUUAUAUUCUUAAAACUUAAUAAAUUUGGCGGUAUUUUAAUCUAAUCAGAGGAACUUGUUUUAUAAUUGAUAAUCCUCAUUAAAUCUUACUUAAUUUUAUUAAAUUUGUAUACCGUCGUCAUAAGAAUUUCUUUUAAAGGAAAGAAUUUUCUAAAAUUUUUAAUAGUAAUAAUGUCAGAUCAAGGUGCAGUUUAUAAUUAAGAAAAAAUGAGUUACAAUAAAAAUAUUUAUUACGAAGUUAAAAAUUAAUUUUUUUUUUGAAGGUGGAUUUGAUAGUAAAAUAAAUAAUUAACUUUAUUUGAUUUUAGUUCUAAAAUAUGCACAAAUCGCCCGUCACUCUCUGA
This 391-nucleotide ribosomal RNA is filed under the name Novakia scatopsiformis. Its description in RNAcentral is "partial 12S ribosomal RNA". The record is from RNAcentral. Lineage: Eukaryota; Metazoa; Arthropoda; Insecta; Diptera; Mycetophilidae.